GGCAGACGGGUGAGUAACAUGUGGGUAUCUGCCCUUUGGCCUGGAAUAACACGAGGAAACUUGUGCUAAUACCGGAUAAGUCUUUACGGAGAAAGCUUUAUGCACCAUUGGAUGAGCCUGCACUUGAUUAGUUUGUUGGUGGGGUAAUGGCCUACCAAGACUGUGAUCAAUAGCUGAUUUGAGAGGAUGAUCAGCCACAUUGGGACUGAGACACGGCCCAAACUCCUACGGGAGGCAGCAGUGGGGAAUCUUGCACAAUGGAGGAAACUCUGAUGCAGCGAUGCCGCGUGAGUGAAGAAGGCCCUUGGGUUGUAAAGCUCUUUCGUCGGGGAAGAAAAUGACUGUACCCGAAUAAGAAGGUCCGGCUAACUUCGUGCCAGCAGCCGCGGUAAUACGAAGGGACCUAGCGUAGUUCGGAAUUACUGGGCUUAAAGAGUUCGUAGGUGGUUGAAAAAGUUGGUGGUGAAAUCCCAGAGCUUAACUCUGGAACUGCCAUCAAAACUUUUCAGCUAGAGUAUGAUAGAGGAAAGCAGAAUUUCUAGUGUAGAGGUGAAAUUCGUAGAUAUUAGAAAGAAUACCAAUUGCGAAGGCAGCUUUCUGGAUCAUUACUGACACUGAGGAACGAAAGCAUGGGUAGCGAAGGGGAUUAGAUACCCUCGUAGUCCAUGCCGUAAACGAUGUGUGUUAG
Molecule: ribosomal RNA, 688 nt
Filed under: uncultured marine bacterium
Lineage: Bacteria
Description: bacterial SSU rRNA
Rfam family: Bacterial small subunit ribosomal RNA
Source: RNAcentral